RNAcentral lists this ribosomal RNA (501 nucleotides) under uncultured bacterium. RNAcentral describes it as "partial 16S ribosomal RNA". The record is from RNAcentral.
GGAGUUAGCCGGUGCUUCUUCUGUGAGUGAUGUCCUUCCUGCCGGUUAUUGACCCGCAGGCCUUCUUCCUCACUGAAAGUGCUUUACAACCCGAAGGCCUUCUUCACACACGCGGCAUGGCUGGAUCAGGGUUGCCCCCAUUGUCCAAUAUUCCCCACUGCUGCCUCCCGUAGGAGUCUGGGCCGUGUCUCAGUCCCAGUGUGGCUGAUCAUCCUCUCAGACCAGCUACGGAUCGUCGCCUUGGUGAGCCGUUACCUCACCAACCAGCUAAUCCGACAUAGGCUCAUCCGAUAGCGCGAGGCCCGAAGGUCCCCCGCUUUCCCCCGUAGGGCGUAUGCGGUAUUAGCCUGGGUUUCCCCAGGUUAUCCCCCACUACCGGGCAGAUUCCUAUGCAUUACUCACCCGUCCGCCGCUCGCCACCAGGGAGCAAGCUCCCCGUGCUGCCGCUCGACUUGCAUGUGUAGCNGCCGCCAGCGUCAUCUGAGCAGAUACAACUACUGA